Molecule: long non-coding RNA, 4503 nt
Filed under: Sus scrofa (pig)
Lineage: Eukaryota; Metazoa; Chordata; Mammalia; Artiodactyla; Suidae
Description: lncRNA (ENSSSCG00015073321.1)
Source: RNAcentral
CAACUAUAAUUGAAAAAAUAAAAAUCAUUAUAAAAAAAAAGUUCGGCUUCCUAAUCAGAGCCCUUUGAGUAAACAUUUCAUUCUCCAGAGUUCUGCCCACUGGCCAUUCUCCACCCCUAAAUCUUGUUCAGUCAGGGCAGGGUUGGUUGGUUGGUUUGUAUGUUUGCUUUUAUAUCAUUUAGCUCAAAAUCCUUAGCAGCCUAGAACCAUGUCGCAAAUAAUUGAUGCUUAAUGCCUGUUACUGACAGCUUAAUAAGAAAGCUUACUUUGUGGGAGUCAGAGCGAAGAGGCCAACUGUGUGGCCAUCCCCGUUGAUGUCUGUGCUGUGUCUGCUUCACUGUCUUGUCUGGAACAUAUGCUGGAAUUGUCCACUGAGGUGUAUCUAGUACUGUCUGUCCUUUGGAAGUCAUGUACAGGAACCCACCAUGGCAGUUGUGGUCGUCUGUCUCAAAGUCCCUGAGCACAGAGAACUCUGCUCCAACGGCACACCUCUGCUGGUCUCCCAGUCUCUUAGCAACAACUAGAUGCCCUGCAUGCCAUGCUCAGGCUUUAGGAAACGAGCAGGGCUGCCCCAGCUCAUCUUUCUGACCUUCUCCUGCUGCUGCAGGCAAGGCCUUGCUCGCAUACCAUGUAUUGGCACAGGGCUGAAGAUUGAACCUCAGUGACCUGAAGGCCACCCCAUGUUAUGUAUGGAAACUGGAGUCUCAGUAUUUCUGAAGCGCCAUUGCUCCCUGAGUUCGAGAAGGAAUGUGUAUGUGAAGGGGACUCUGUCCUUGUUGACCUGUUCUACCCCCUUCCUCCCUCUUAAGGCCAGACGAGGCGGGCUUCUCUUUGACUUCCGCUUCCAUGGCUGAGGCUUCUCCUCUAUCACAUCCUCCUUUCCAAGCCAAGCUUCGCUGCGAAGAAGGAGGCGCUUUAUAGAUGGAGCACGUGAAAAGAAACUGCUCUGUCAACAGGGGAACACAAAUUAGGAAGCAUUUCAAAAAUAGGUUAACAGUUAUUCUCCCUUAUAUCGAUGCCCAAGUAAAAUGACCUCAGCUCGUUAGACCAGCUUCCUUCUACCAGAUGUAUUUUCACAGCUCCGCUACCCCAGGGGCACUUGGAGAGUCCGUCUUGGGAAGGCGUGAGUGCAUUGUCAGCACUCUUUAAGUGCUGCCCUGUCCUUGUUGCUGACUAUAAAAAAGUGAAUCCUUGAGUGUCAGCUUUCUCUUCAGUCGAAUUGAGAUUUGGUGCUGGUCUUCUGAUUGACAGCUGUCACAAGUUUAGCACGACUGUUAAAUGAAAGCUUCGACCAUAUGCAUGGAAACCAGUUUCCCGUCCCAUUCUUCCUGAAGGUUCCUAACACUGUUUCCAGAGGACCUGGGGAGCUUUAAAAAAUACAGAUGCCAACCUGCUAUGGUCUAAAUAGAUCAGAACCUCUGACGGAUGGGGCCCAGGGAUAUGUGUAAAAAGUUAAUUCAUGUGAUUUGUGCACCCCCUGAUUAAAAAUCUCUGCAAAGAAAAAGGCUGAAUAUGCAAAUACAUUGUAGUGUGCUGGGAGCAAGUCCUUUGGUGAGACUGUCUGAGGCUUUUGUUUAAGUUGGACUUGACCGAGUUAGAAGUCUCUUUAUUUAUAGCUUGCUGUUGUGGGCUCCAAGGUAAUAGCCUUGCCAAGCCCUGUUUCUCAUCCAAGCCCUUUGUAAGCUGAGGGGACAGAUGCGCAAUGCCUCCUUGCUUGCAUGCACGUCCUGAUCAGGGUUUUCUAUGAACUGGAUUUGUGGUCACUGAGCCUUGAGCCAGCAAGUGCUAUAUGCUCUUUUGUUAUUGCACUUGACGUGCAUGGUGCUAAAUGUAAACUGUCUGUCUAAAGCUGCCUGAUCCUAAAUUGAUGAAUCUGUGUCAUGGUGGAUACAAAGGGAUCUAUAUUAUCCCGAAGAGAACAAAACGGCAUUAUCUUAUCCUUGUAGGAAGUUAUUGUGCAAUGAAUGCUUAAAAUGUCUGCCAGGUGCAAGGACCUGUGCCAGGCAGGGUGAGGGAUGAGUAGUUUAACAGGAAUAAUAUGAAAGGGAUAGUAUCAGAAACCCCUGAGGAUUUGGGUCAAAGGGGCUUGAACUUUAUGUCUCAGGUUUUUAUAUAUAUAUAUAUAUUUUUUUUUUUAGCUUUAUUAAGAUAUCAUUAACAUACCAUAAAAUUUGCCAUUUUAGUGUUCAAUUCAGUUUUUUUAGUAUAGUUCACAAAGUUGUACAACCAGGAGUUCCCAUUGCAGCUCAGUGGGUGGAAAACUCAACAUAGGGUCCAUGAGGAUGCGGAUUUGAUCCUUGGCCUCGCUCGGUGGGUUGAGGAUCCAGUGUUGCCACAAGCCGUGGUGUAGCCUGCAGAUGCAGCUUGGAUCCGGCGUUGCUGUGACUGUGGUUUAGGCCUGCCUGUGGUUGCAGCUCCAGUUCAGCCCCUAGCCCGGGAACUUCCAUAUGCUGCAACUGCAGUUGUGGAAAGUAAAAAAGGAUUUUUUUGUUUCUUUUUUUUUUUUUUUAAAGUUGGACAGCUAUCACCACUAUCUAAUUCCAGAAUAUUCUUGCCCCAAAAGAAAACUCCAUACCCAUGAAGCAGCCGCUCUUCACUCCCUCCUCCCCAAAACUCAGGGCAACCACCCGUGCGUUCUGUCUCUGUGGACUUGCCUAUUCUGGAUAUUUCAUAAAAAUGGAAUCAUAUGCUCUACAGCCUUUUAUGUCCAGCUCCUUUCACUGGGCAUAAAGAUUUCCAGGCUCAUCUGUGCUAUAGCAUUUAUGGACUUCAUUCUUUUCUGUAUGAAUAAUAAUCCAUUGUGUGAAUACAUCACAUUUUGUUUAAAAGUUUAACGUAAUUGUUGAAAUGAAUGCUUGGGUGAUUUGAAUGGAAACCAGUUUCCCAUCCCAUUCUUUCUCUAAAGACCCAGUGGAAUUGUUAGGUCAUAUGGUAACUCUGUGUUUAACUUUUUAAGGAGCUGCCAAAUGGUUUGUCUUAUUUUUUUAUAAGAAGAAUAUAUUCAUGUACUAUUUUUGUAGUUAUGAAUCAAUUUUUAAAUUACUUUAAAAAUAGACCAGAAAGUAUUAGAGGGGAUGCUAAGAAGUGUGUAUAUCCAGUGCUAAUUGUGUCCUCUGGAACUCCCCAAGUUCUGUUGCUUUUUAAUUUUCGAUAAAGUCAUAGAAGCCAGACAGUAGAGGAGCUGUGUCCCUUCUAUCAGAGUCUCUAACAGAAAAGCUGGAGUAGAAGGUGGACUCCUUCUUCACAUCCAUCUCAGCUGUUUCCUCCCCAGCAAGAUGGGAUCUUCCCUGUUCUGAUCUCAGAGCAUGUUGAUUGAGACUCUUCACUUUCAGCACAUUCUGCCAAGGCACUGAUAGUGUAUAUACCUCUCUCCCGCUAGAUUUAGAAAAAGUCUUGUGCUCCUGUUUGUAGCCCCCAUAGAGCAUAUGCUCAGUAUAUAACCAUUAAAUAAUAAUCUGAAUUAUAUUAACAUCCUGAGACUUUUCUGCUUGAUAAUAAGAGGAAAAUUCCUUUGUGACCAAGAUCCCUAGUUCGUGUCUCUGUUAUGUGGAGUUGCUCACUCUUCUGUUUCUAACCAAGGCUGUAUGGUUUAAGGCAAGGUUUUAAAGAGCUGAUUUUUUUUUUCUUUUUAACAAAGUGAAAGUAAGCAGGACUAGUUGUGGGAAUAGGGUUAAUGCAUCACUUAUCAUGAAGCUAUAUUAUCUAAGCGUAUCCAUAACUCUGCGGGCAGGAGGUUGGUAGAGAGCAUCUGAGGAAAGAUUAGAGAAAUUAUUUUCUUAGAAUAUAUUGUGAAUAAAUUGUUUAUGUGUUAUGUAUGUAAACACACACAUAUAUAGGUAUAUAGAGAAAAACACGUAUGGAUUUGCCUGUUAUACACAGAUUUGUCCAUUCAUGUGUACGUGGAUACUGUUCUGAGCAUGUCUUGUGUAUUAUUUAAUCUUCACAGCAGCCCUAUGAGAUGGGCACUUCUAUUUUCUCUAUUUUAUGGUUAAGGAACUGAGGAAUAGGGAAAUGAGGAAAUUUGCUAAGUUUUCUCCAUUAGAAAAGAAAGGAAAUAGAUUUUUACCCCAAGCAAUCUAGCCUCUCGAUGUAGAAUAAGCACAUGUUUUUAUGGGAUAAAUCUGAGUUUCGAUCCUGGCUCUGCUGUUUCAUAAGAACAUGGCCUUGGACAAGUUAUCUCUCUGAGCCUCCUUUCUGCAAGGGAUAAUGGGCAGAUUGGGAGUAAAGUUCUUCAUUCCACUUUAAUUCCCUUAGCUCCUUCUUUGUGGAUAUGUCUUCACUAACAUUACACAACCUGAUGGUGGAAAGAUAGGAGAGUGAUGGCAGAUUUCAACUGAAAUUUCUUGGGCGUUGGUUGUGUAACACAUCAGCUGCUCAGCAUGUCCUUUUCUGGACAUGUUGACGACUUUGCUUUGAAAACUCACUGAGAGAACACUUCAUUCUGACCCAGUGGGAAAGAGCUUGGCAAUAGGAACCUGGUGGGAGUUUGGGAAUGUGAUGGUC